CAAUAGCGUAUAUUUAAGUUGUUGCAGUUAAAAAGCUCGUAGUUGGAUUUCGGGUGGGACGCAGCGGUCUCGCAUUGCGUUUGUACUGCUGCAGCCCUCCUUCUUGCCGGGGGCGGCCUCUCGGACUUCACUGUCUGGGGGUCAGAAUCGGCGAUGUUACUUUGAGUAAAUUAGAGUGUUCAAAGCAAGCUUACGCUCUGAAUAUAAUAGCAUGGGAUAACACGACAGGACUCUGGCCUAUCGUGUUGGUCUAUAGGACCAGAGUAAUGAUUAAGAGGGACAGUCGGGGGCAUUCGUAUUCCGCUGUCAGAGGUGAAAUUCUUGGAUUUACGGAAGACGAACAUCUGCGAAAGCAUUUGCCAAGGAUGUUUUCAUUGA
This 378-nucleotide ribosomal RNA is filed under the name uncultured eukaryote. Its description in RNAcentral is "partial 18S ribosomal RNA". It matches the Rfam family "Eukaryotic small subunit ribosomal RNA", at positions 592 to 976 of the family's 1831-position model. The record is from RNAcentral.